RNAcentral lists this ribosomal RNA (477 nucleotides) under uncultured Gram-positive bacterium. RNAcentral's name for it is "bacterial SSU rRNA". It matches the Rfam family "Bacterial small subunit ribosomal RNA", at positions 384 to 872 of the family's 1533-position model. The record is from RNAcentral.
UGAUGCAGCGACGCCGAGUGGGGAUGACGGCCUUCGGGUUGUAAACCCCUUUCAGUAGGGAAGAAGCGAAAGUGACGGUACCUGCAGAAGAAGCGCCGGCUAACUACGUGCCAGCAGCCGCGGUAAUACGUAGGGCGCAAGCGUUGUCCGGAAUUAUUGGGCGUAAAGAGCUUGUAGGUGGCUUGUCGCGUCUGCCGUGAAAACCCGAGGCUCAACCUCGGGCGUGCGGUGGGUACGGGCAGGCUAGAGUGUGGUAGGAGAGACUGGAACUCCUGGUGUAGCGGUGAAAUGCGCAGAUAUCAGGAAGAACACCGAUGGCGAAGGCAGGUCUCUGGGCCAUUACUGACACUGAGAAGCGAAAGUAUGGGUAGCGAACAGGAUUAGAUACCCUGGUAGUCCAUGCCGUAAACGUUGGGCACUAGGUGUGGGGGACAUUCCACGUUUUCCGCGCCGUAGCUAACGCAUUAAGUGCCCCGC